Long non-coding RNA from Marmota monax (woodchuck), 3154 nucleotides. RefSeq lists it as uncharacterized. The transcript is spliced from 3 exons. NCBI's taxonomy places the organism in Eukaryota, Metazoa, Chordata, Mammalia, Rodentia, Sciuridae. The record is from RefSeq and is a predicted model, not a curated record.
GGAAGCUGGCCUCUUCCUAGGUCUCCAGUCUUCAGGUAAGGAUCAAAACCGAGUGGCCUUGCUUGGAAAGUGAGCAAGGUACUCAUAAAACCUCUGAAGAACUGUGCCUGUGCAGUGUCCAGGCAACCUACCCUACAUCGCCUUGCUUUAAUCUGUGCGGGCCAUCACAUACCCGGAACAAGAGCCUUCCUGGUACAGUCUUUUGGGAUCCAGUUUUAGAGUUGGUGCUAGCACAUCUAAGAGGCAUGGAAAGACUAGACUUUGGAGUCACGAGAACAGAGGUGGGAGUUACGACAGAGAAGACGGCUUGCCCAAGGACAAGCAUCUGGACCUACUAGGGUCACACUAAGGAGAAGGCCAUUAUCUCAGCAUAACAGAGUUUGGACCCAAUAUUUACUGAACACUGGCUGUCGAAGGAAUAAGCGGUCCCCAAUACCAAACCAUGUGCCUGUUCCAGAACUUCAGAACAGACGCAGUACCUUUCUCAUGUAUUUUUUGUGGAAGAAAUCAUUGUUGUGAGCUUUCCUGGCCAUUGGGAAAUGUAUGGAAAGAUUAAAAUAGGAGUCAAGGCAAAUCUUCAGUGAGUCUUCAAAUUGCAUAAGGAACAUCACCCCUGGUAUUUCUGUCUUUCUGACAUCUCAUUAGUUGAUUGGGGGUAAAUGACAUCGAGCCUUUUGUGACUGGUGCCUUGGAACAAUCCAGACGAUGCUCACUGCCGCCCCUUGACAUGGCUUCCUGCCCUCCCUGGCUGGCAUCUGUGAGGUACAGAUGGUGUGUCCCCGUGGACGCAGAGGCUCUCCCUUGGAAAUGUGAGCAACUCCCACGGGCUGAGCUCACGUGCAUCACCGUGGACUCCUUCCUGCCAUCCCGGAGGGCUACUGCCGUGUUUUUAUGAUGAUCUACUUACGUUUUCUCCCAAACUGGUUUCCAUGUUUGUAUUUCUUUGAAGAUGACAUGAACCUACCAGCCACCUGGCUUUACCCACAGCUUGUUCUGCGUGGUAUUUCUUCAUUCUCCUCUGAAGCCAAACAAACCCUUAUCUCAAAUCUCACUCUUGUUCUCUUGGUUUUCCUGACUCUAACGUGGCCUUGGGUCCAGUUCUGAUAACCCCGUGCACAGGUUGCUGCAAGGGUCUCUAAGGAGCCUGUCUUCCGUCCUCUGAUGGCCACGGGCCUGCUCAUCACAUGGUCUUUCUAAAGAUCACAUUGAUUCUGUCUCCUGCUCAAAAUUAUUUCAGUUACUUCACAGUAUCUAGGAUCCAUUUUACACAUCUAGUGCCAUAAUUAAAAGUCCACAUGAUUUUGUUCCAAUUUACUUUUUAGUCUUAUUUUCCUAUAGUCCCACAGUGGGCUUCCCCACUAUCUAAUCCCCUCCUCCCUUUCUAACUGAACCCUGAUUUUGUUUGGAGUGAUCAAAUAACCAGCAAAGGGAUACACUUCUCAGGCUCUGAAAUGUAAGCAGACAGUGCUGGAUAGGCUCUCCAGGGGAGUCUGUGAAGGGCGCUGAUUCAGACAGAGAACAUUCUUUUGCCCCUCAUCCCCUCCUCUUUUUCCUUGCCUAGAAGGUGGUUGUGAUGACUUUAGCUUCAGCAGCUGUUUUGGAUGGUGAGGCAACCUUGAUGAUAUAACUUCAUGCUAAAAUGGUAAAGACCUUGAUGGCUGUGGUGCCAUCACCCCUCUUGGGAUGGGCCCAACCCAGGUUUGAUUUACAAGGCUGCACAGUCACCCUCAUUGUUUUUAAAGCCACGGAACAUGCAGGUUUACUGAUGUAUGUGGCUAAACCUCUCCUAACUGAUAUGAUCUCCCUCUUGGCCAACUUGGUUUGCUCACUAUUCUCUAUAUAAGUGGGUCACGUUUCCCCUCCAUAAUUUUAGUCAUGUCACUCACUUACCCAACACCUACCAACUCAAAUUUUAUUAUUUUUUUUAGAAAAGUUCCUUCCUCAAAGGGUAUCUUUCUUAUUUUUUGGUACUUGGGGUUGAACCCAGAAGUGCUUUACCACUGAGCCACAUUCCCAGUAAACUUUUUAUUAUUUUUUAUUUUGAGGCAGGGUCUCACUAAAUUGCUUAGGGCCUUGCUUAGUUGCUGGGGCUGGCCUUGAACUUGUGAUCCUCCUGCCUCAGCCUCCCCUGUCACUGGGAUUACAGGUGGGCGCCACCAUGCCCAGCCCCAAAGUACACUCUUGCUUUAUGAUCUCCAUAGUGUUAUUUUCUUUAUGAACUAUAGACAGCUUUUUAAACUUUCCUCUUUUGAUUUAAAUUGUCACUUAAAUCUUAUGUUGUCACUUACUCUAAAUGUUCACAUUUACGUAUUUGUUUUGAUAUGUGUUUAUUGAGGGCUGAGUCUCUGGCUGUUCUUUUGGACACACAACAUACAGCAUAGUGCAGAGCCCACGUUGGGAACUUCAUUAAUGUCUAAAGUGAGGCACCUCGUGCAUUUGGAAUAUCAUAAAUAAGUGAAAUGAAUGAGUGCAAUGAGUAAAUGAGUGGAGUGAAAUGACAACUAGAAAGUUUUAUUUUAGCUGUGUGUUUGGAACUACUCCAGGUAAAUUCUUAUGUAAAUAGGACCCCAACCCAUAAUUUUGCUGAUUAUUUUGCCCAUUCUCUGUGUGUGCACUGAACAGUUGAGGCCAAGGGUUUCAAAUAAGCAUAAAACAUCCUCAUCACAGAAACAGCACUUCGUGUCAUAGCCUUUAUGACCCUUCAAGGAGAAAUGCAGUGAGCCAGGUGGGUGAAGGGUGGGCCGUGACUCUGUCGGUCCCUAAGUUGUACCUGUUCAAAGUGUCAGAAUUUUUAGCCCAAGCCACGCUCCCCUGAGGCACAGCUCAUUGACAUUGAACCCACAGAAUUUGAAAUACCGGCUAGAGAAGUUUGGGUUAUUUCCCAAACAUCAGAGCCUGCGGGUGGGAAGGGCAGUCUUAUGGGAACUCAGCCUCCAGCAUUUUCUAAGGUGUUUUGGAAGCCCUAGGAGACCAGUGGGGAAUGAGCCUGGGAGCAAAAAUCCCAGUGAGUAUUUUAUCAUCUGAACCAACAACGGGUUGGAGAGGUUUGGGAGCACUCAGCUCUGCUUUCCACGGCAGGUGCCCCCUUCUCCAGCCUGUACCCCACGUGAACAGCAGCCGUGCGAGUCCCAAGGACCCACCUCAAACCGUAUGU